RNAcentral lists this ribosomal RNA (465 nucleotides) under uncultured bacterium. RNAcentral describes it as "partial 16S ribosomal RNA". It matches the Rfam family "Bacterial small subunit ribosomal RNA", at positions 338 to 795 of the family's 1533-position model. The record is from RNAcentral.
CCUACGGGAGGCAGCAGUGGGGAAUAUUGCGCAAUGGGCGAAAGCCUGACGCAGCGACGCCGCGUGAGGGAUGAAGGUCUUCGGAUCGUAAACCUCUGUCAGCAGGGAAGAACGGUCACUGUGCUAAUCAGCAGUGAAUUGACGGUACCUGCAAAGGAAGCCCCGGCUAAAUCCGUGCCAGCAGCCGCGGUAAUACGGAGGGUGCAAGCGUUGUCCGGAAUCAUUGGGCGUAAAGAGUUCGUAGGCGGCAUGUAAAGUCAGGUGUUAAAGGCGCAGGCUCAACCUGUGUAUGGCACUUGAUACUUGCAAGCUGGAAUGCGGUAGAGGUAAAGGGAAUUCCUGGUGUAGCGGUGAAAUGCUUAGAUAUCAGGAGGAACAUCGGUGGCGUAAGCGCUUUACUGGGCCGUAAUUGACGCUGAGGAACGAAAGCCAGGGUAGCAAAUGGGAUUAGAUACCCUAGUAGUC